This is a long non-coding RNA of Brassica rapa (field mustard), 379 nucleotides long. RefSeq lists it as uncharacterized. The record is from RefSeq and is a predicted model, not a curated record. Lineage: Eukaryota; Viridiplantae; Streptophyta; Magnoliopsida; Brassicales; Brassicaceae.
CGAUCCUCCGUCUUCGCUCUCGUCUUCUCCUCUUCUCCGUGACAGAGGAAGCAUGGAAACCCACAGAUAAGUGAUGUUUCAGUUUCUCUUCUUCGCAAGCAAAACCAAAGCAGUUCGGUUCUGUUUUUGCUCUUGACGUAAUCUACUGAUUUUGCAUUAAUACUGAAUCAAUCUCUCUCGUUUUAUCAUCUCGUUUCCAAGGACGCCAAGGAACAUCUUUCUGUAUUGGCUUCGUCUCUACCAGACAUAAUGUUACGAGACAAAGAAGUCACAAGACUUGGUCUCGGUUAUGCGAGCAAGAGAGGUCACGAGAUGGUGUCGUUACUCAAGAGAAGUCAUGAGAGUUGAUGUCGGAUUAGCUAGAGAGGUCACAGGAGUU